UCGUACCCACGCUGGUGCCCAUACUG
RNAcentral lists this unclassified non-coding RNA (26 nucleotides) under Mus musculus (house mouse). RNAcentral's name for it is "oocyte_clustered_small_RNA4638". The record is from RNAcentral. Lineage: Eukaryota; Metazoa; Chordata; Mammalia; Rodentia; Muridae.